UAUUAAAAAUUGUAUCCAUUUCUACCAUUAAAAACUGGACUGACUGAUUGAAUAAUCAGACAAUGCUACGUAGUAUGCCAUGCAUACCUCCUGUUGAUGUAUAGACACUAGUUUUUAAUAAUAAAACUUGAUAGAAUUUUUAAUA
This is a non-coding RNA of Gossypium hirsutum (cotton), 145 nucleotides long. NCBI's taxonomy places the organism in Eukaryota, Viridiplantae, Streptophyta, Magnoliopsida, Malvales, Malvaceae. The record is from Rfam.